UACGUAGGUGGCAAGCGUUGUCCGGAUUUACUGGGCGUAAAGAGCGCGCAGGCGGUCGUGCAAGUCGCGUGUGAAAGCCCCCGGCUCAACUGGGGAGGGUCACGCGAUACUGCUCGACUUGAAGGCAGGAGAGGGAAGUGGAAUUCCCAGUGUAGUGGUGAAAUACGUAGAGAUUGGGAAGAACACCAGUGGCGAAGGCGGCUAUCUGGACGGUUUCUGACGCUAAGACGCGAAAGCGUGGGGAGCAAACAGG
RNAcentral lists this ribosomal RNA (253 nucleotides) under uncultured bacterium. Its description in RNAcentral is "partial 16S ribosomal RNA". It matches the Rfam family "Bacterial small subunit ribosomal RNA", at positions 524 to 776 of the family's 1533-position model. The record is from RNAcentral.